RNAcentral lists this long non-coding RNA (1312 nucleotides) under Chinchilla lanigera (long-tailed chinchilla). Its description in RNAcentral is "lncRNA (ENSCLAG00000027056.1)". Lineage: Eukaryota; Metazoa; Chordata; Mammalia; Rodentia; Chinchillidae. The record is from RNAcentral.
CAAAGAGCCGGGGCGGGAGCGGCGGGGGCUCUCCGAGCGCCCGCAGCUCGGCGGAGCCGCACUCCCCGCUGUCACCCGCUGCGGCGCCCCCCGUCCGCCGGGCGAGGCUCGGGGUGCCAAGGGCCAGGCCCCCGGCGCGUCCUGGCUGGGUCGCGGGGAGAGGACUGUGCGCGCGCGCGCGUGAACCCUGCGAGUGCGCGCGCGGCUGCGCUCACCUGCAGACUUGAGGGGACCUUCCCGCCCAGGAAGGCCUCUUUGUUCCCGUUUCUUCGCACCUCACCUUUUCUCACCCCCGGCUUCCCCUUUUAUGUCAGCCCAGAGACUAGAGACCGGCCGGCCUCGGCCUUGCGCCCAGCGCGCGGGUGGACGGGAGGGUCCGCGGCUCGGCUCGGCCCGCAGGAGGGAAGAGCCCGGGGCCCAGCAUGCGCCUGGCUCCAGCGCUUCGGCCCAGCCCCCGAUGCGCAACCUCAGCCAGCCAGUGUAGACAAGGCUCACAGCGGCGGGGGAGGAACGCUGCCGGGGAAGGAAGGCUCAGGUGUCAGGACAGGUCGCCAAGCCUGGUGCUGCCAGACCUCGAGCGGCUGGAGAGGUGGCGGUCGGGACUCAGCGGUCCCACCAGGAGGGACGUGCCGGGCCCCGCCCAGCCCCCUGCAGACUCCGUUAGCGGCCCCUCCCCACAGGAAGGAAAGUGACAGCGCGAGGCUCGCAGUCACCGAGGCUGUCGGCAGCUGCGCGGCUCCGGGCGAGGGGGAGGAGUGGGGAGGCCACGCAGCGGGGGACGUGGACCGGGACCGUGGCUCUGCCCCCCAGCCCCGGGCCGUCCUCCGGCUGAAGCUGGGAUUCUCCGAGUCGUCUGGCGACAGGAGACCUUGCCUCGGUUGAGCAGCCCUUCGGGAGAGGGAGGAGAGAAGUGUAAAGAGCUGCCAGGCUGUGCCAGCCCCAAGCUCCAUUACUCAGACUGAGUGACCGAGUUUAGGGGGCCGGGCCCAUCUCUGCACUGCACGGCCGCGGGGACCGAGGCCUGGGCGCGCACUGCCUCGGAGAUGGGGCAGCCUCCAGCCUGCAGGCCCCGCCCAGCUCCAGAACACAGGCUGUUUGAGGGGCAGCCUGGGUUCUUCCUUCCCUAGACGGAUUCUACACUGAGAAGCCCAGCGCUGGCACCCAGGCAGCGUAGGGCCCGCGAAGACCCCAAAGGAGGGGGGUCGGAACCGUGGACCCGGGCCGAGCCUGAGCACCACCAUCUGAGCCCCUAAGCUGCAAAGCUGCGGCGCUGGGGCCUGAGGGGGCUGGUGGUGGCUGCCAUUGUCAUUAA